ACCAAGGGUUCCUGUCCAACGUUAAUCGGGGCAGGGUGAGUCGACCCCUAAGGCGAGGCCGAAAGGCGUAGUCGAUGGGAAACAGGUUAAUAUUCCUGUACUUGGUGUUACUGCGAAGGGGGGACGGAGAAGGCUAUGUUGGCCGGGCGACGGUUGUCCCGGUUUAAGCGUGUAGGCUGGUUUUCCAGGCAAAUCCGGAAAAUCAAGGCUGAGGCGUGAUGACGAGGCACUACGGUGCUGAAGCAACAAAUGCCCUGCUUCCAGGAAAAGCCUCUAAGCAUCAGGUAACAUCAAAUCGUACCCCAAACCGACACAGGUGGUCAGGUAGAGAAUACCAAGGCGCUUGAGAGAACUCGGGUGAAGGAACUAGGCAAAAUGGUGCCGUAACUUCGGGAGAAGGCACGCUGAUAUGUAGGUGAAGCGACUUGCUCGUGGAGCUGAAAUCAGUCGAAGAUACCAGCUGGCUGCAACUGUUUAUUAAAAACACAGCACUGUGCAAACACGAAAGUGGACGUAUACGGUGUGACGCCUGCCCGGUGCCGGAAGGUUAAUUGAUGGGGUUAGCGGUAACGCGAAGCUCUUGAUCGAAGCCCCGGUAAACGGCGGCCGUAACUAUAACGGUCCUAAGGUAGCGAAAUUCCUUGUCGGGUAAGUUCCGACCUGCACGAAUGGCGUAAUGAUGGCCAGGCUGUCUCCACCCGAGACUCAGUGAAAUUGAACUCGCUGUGAAGAUGCAGUGUACCCGCGGCAAGACGGAAAGACCCCGUGAACCUUUACUAUAGCUUGACACUGAACAUUGAGCCUUGAUGUGUAGGAUAGGUGGGAGGCUUUGAAGUGUGGACGCCAGUCUGCAUGGAGCCGACCUUGAAAUACCACCCUUUAAUGUUUGAUGUUCUAACGUUGGCCCGUAAUCCGGGUUGCGGACAGUGUCUGGUGGGUAGUUUGACUGGGGCGGUCUCCUCCUAAAGAGUAACGGAGGAGCACGAAGGUUGGCUAAUCCUGGUCGGACAUCAGGAGGUUAGUGCAAUGGCAUAAGCCAGCUUGACUGCGAGCGUGACGGCGCGAGCAGGUGCGAAAGCAGGUCAUAGUGAUCCGGUGGUUCUGAAUGGAAGGGCCAUCGCUCAACGGAUAAAAGGUACUCCGGGGAUAACAGGCUGAUACCGCCCAAGAGUUCAUAUCGACGGCGGUGUUUGGCACCUCGAUGUCGGCUCAUCACAUCCUGGGGCUGAAGUAGGUCCCAAGGGUAUGGCUGUUCGCCAUUUAAAGUGGUACGCGAGCUGGGUUUAGAACGUCGUGAGACAGUUCGGUCCCUAUCUGCCGUGGGCGCUGGAGAACUGAGGGGGGCUGCUCCUAGUACGAGAGGACCGGAGUGGACGCAUCACUGGUGUUCGGGUUGUCAUGCCAAUGGCACUGCCCGGUAGCUAAAUGCGGAAGAGAUAAGUGCUGAAAGCAUCUAAGCACGAAACUUGCCCCGAGAUGAGUUCUCCCUGACUCCUUGAGAGUCCUGAAGGAACGUUGAAGACGACGACGUUGAUAGGCCGGGUGUGUAAGCGCAGCGAUGCGUUGAGCUAACCGGUACUAAUGAACCGUGAGGCUUAACC
Molecule: ribosomal RNA, 1601 nt
Filed under: human gut metagenome
Description: bacterial LSU rRNA
Rfam family: Bacterial large subunit ribosomal RNA
Source: RNAcentral